Molecule: transfer RNA, 64 nt
Filed under: Xyloredo sp. E88
Lineage: Eukaryota; Metazoa; Mollusca; Bivalvia; Myida; Pholadidae
Also listed under: 1 other name
Description: tRNA-Lys
Source: RNAcentral
GCCUUGGAAGCUAAGUUGAGCAUCGAGCUUUUGACUCGAGGAUACAGUAUUACUGUUCAAGGUA